GUUUGUCUGCCCCAGGCUGGGACUCUGGUUUCAAUGGCCCUUUUCCUUUCUUUGCCUUAGGUUUAAACAGGAAUCUAUCUCCACCCUGCAACUUAUUCCACAUCUGUCUUGUAACCUUACACUGUGUUUUAUCCUCUGUCUGCAAAGUCCACCCAUUAAAGAAAGCCCUCUCAAGAGUCCUCCUGCUUCAACCCGGAAAGGAGCCCUCACUUCUGCCUGCCACACAUGAAGCUUUCUUAUGUCACAGAGUACCACCGGAACCUGGAGAUGCUUCAGGACUACGGCCACUAGAGGGGCUGGCCUUGCUUCAUGGCUGCAUUCUUGAACCAAAAAGAAGGCUGAUCCAGACCAAGCUGGAGGCUGAGUGAAUUUGGGAUGGGAGGGUCAUUAAGCAUCACAGUUGAUCAGUAUUCUGUUUUGCUAAUCAUCUUCCUGAUCUGUCUGCAUGGUUUAAACUACAAAAUGUUAAUGCCUGACGUGAUUUCAUGCCUCUUUCUCAGACCCAUAGAGAAGCCUUGGGUUUUCCCUCACCCUUGCCUUUUCACCCCCAUCCCAGAAUGAUUCAUGUGAAUACUAGCUCAUUUUCUCAGACUCACAUUUUUCUAAGCCUGGAAAAAUGACAAGGGGCUGGUACCAGAACUAUGACCCUUCCUGGAACAGUUUUCUCCAUGGAAUUCAACAAAUCUUUGCUCAUCCUGGGCCAGAGAAAGAGGUGGGUGGUGUCAGGCCACCAAGCAAUGAUAGUGGCUGCCAAGGAAGGCAGGUAGGGACUCUGCCCGGGUCAAUCCCUGAGCAAAGGGUUUUUCUGGAAGGUUUCACAUUUCAUCUUCACGACAACAUCCUCAGGCAGGCAUUGUUACCCCAGCAUAACACAGGAGGAAACUGAGGCUUGGAGAAGUUGAAGUGUGUGGCCAGAGUCUCGUGACCAGUAAAGGUGGAGUCAGGGUAGGAAUGCGAGUCUGGCUGAAUCUAGGCUUUCUUCCCAUUAUCACAGGGCAUCUUACCAGUGACCGCAGUUUAGGGGACAUUCACAAGUAGGUGCUCUUUGGUCCCUUCUCCUGCCAUAAAUGAAUUAGCUGCUCUAAAAGGUCCAUGCAAAAGCUAGUUUGUUUUCCAUUGUCCAAAGAGAGAUGAGAGAAGAAGAGAAGAGAAAAAGAGGAAGAGAAAAAGAGACGCACACACAAAGAUAAAAAAGAGCGCAGUGAUAGAAUCAGCAACAGAAAGACACAACUGAGAGGUGGACACUGGGGACUCGACUAGGGCUUGGCAGGAGGCCAGGAGCUACCCUCUCCCUGCCCGACUCCCCCUCUCCCAACAGCUGAUCACAGCUGCCGCAAGCUUGGUUUGACAUCCGGAUGAAAAGCAAAGCUAACUGCAGCCCAGCAGAGCACCACGGGAUUCAUCAUAACCGUCCUCAGCUGAGGACAGAAACAUGGCCAGCUCCAGAUUAUCCUUGCUGAUGGCAGAGAGGGAGAGCGUGGCUAAAUGAAUAAGAACAUCUUGGGGUGGGAAAAACCUCAGACUCACCUAUCCUCCCGUCGCCCCCAG
This 1548-nucleotide long non-coding RNA is filed under the name Homo sapiens (human). RNAcentral describes it as "HSALNT0184692". The record is from RNAcentral. Lineage: Eukaryota; Metazoa; Chordata; Mammalia; Primates; Hominidae.